GAUGAACGCUGGCGGCGUGCCUAAUACAUGCAAGUCGAACGAAACUUCUUUAUCACCGAGUGCUUGCACUCACCGAUAAAGAGUUGAGUGGCGAACGGGUGAGUAACACGUGGGCAACCUGCCCAAAAGAGGGGGAUAACACUUGGAAACAGGUGCUAAUACCGCAUAACCAUAGUUACCGCAUGGUAACUAUGUAAAAGGUGGCUAUGCUACCGCUUUUGGAUGGGCCCGCGGCGCAUUAGCUAGUUGGUGGGGUAAAGGCUUACCAAGGCAAUGAUGCGUAGCCGAACUGAGAGGUUGAUCGGCCACAUUGGGACUGAGACACGGCCCAAACUCCUACGGGAGGCAGCAGUAGGGAAUCUUCCACAAUGGGCGAAAGCCUGAUGGAGCAACGCCGCGUGGGUGAAGAAGGUCUUCGGAUCGUAAAACCCUGUUGUUAGAGAAGAAAGUGCGUGAGAGUAACUGUUCACGUUUCGACGGUAUCUAACCAGAAAGCCACGGCUAACUACGUGCCAGCAGCCGCGGUAAUACGUAGGUGGCAAGCGUUAUCCGGAUUUAUUGGGCGUAAAGGGAACGCAGGCGGUCUUUUAAGUCUGAUGUGAAAGCCUUCGGCUUAACCGGAGUAGUGCAUUGGAAACUGGGAGACUUGAGUGCAGAAGAGGAGAGUGGAACUCCAUGUGUAGCGGUGAAAUGCGUAGAUAUAUGGAAGAACACCAGUGGCGAAAGCGGCUCUCUGG
This 737-nucleotide ribosomal RNA is filed under the name uncultured Lactobacillus sp. Its description in RNAcentral is "bacterial SSU rRNA". It matches the Rfam family "Bacterial small subunit ribosomal RNA", at positions 28 to 732 of the family's 1533-position model. Lineage: Bacteria; Bacillati; Bacillota; Bacilli; Lactobacillales; Lactobacillaceae. The record is from RNAcentral.